RNAcentral lists this ribosomal RNA (420 nucleotides) under uncultured Anaerovorax sp. RNAcentral's name for it is "bacterial SSU rRNA". It matches the Rfam family "Bacterial small subunit ribosomal RNA", at positions 355 to 794 of the family's 1533-position model. The record is from RNAcentral. Lineage: Bacteria; Bacillati; Bacillota; Clostridia; Peptostreptococcales; Anaerovoracaceae.
UGGGGAAUAUUGCACAAUGGGCGAAAGCCUGAUGCAGCAACGCCGCGUGAGCGAAGAAGGUCUUCGGAUCGUAAAGCUCUGUCCUUGGGAAGAUAAUGACGGUACCCUUGGAGGAAGCCCCGGCUAACUACGUGCCAGCAGCCGCGGUAAUACGUAGGGGGCAAGCGUUAUCCGGAAUUAUUGGGCGUAAAGAGUGCGUAGGUGGUUACCUAAGCAGGGGGUGAAAGGCAAUGGCUUAACCAUUGUUAGCCCCCUGAACUGGGCUACUUGAGUGCAGGAGAGGAAAGCGGAAUUCCUAGUGUAGCGGUGAAAUGCGUAGAUAUUGCGCAGAACUCCGAUUGCGAAGGCAGCGUACUAUUCUCCAACUGACGCUGAGGCACGAAAGCGUGGGUAUCGAACAGGAUUAGAUACCCUGGUAGU